This is a non-coding RNA of Salmo salar (Atlantic salmon), 47 nucleotides long. Lineage: Eukaryota; Metazoa; Chordata; Actinopteri; Salmoniformes; Salmonidae. The record is from Rfam.
ACACUGGCUUUACUCAAAGCCAUUGAAUAAAAAGAUUGAAUAAAAGU